UAGGCUUCCUAAAUCACGCCACCUGUCCCUAUAUUCAUUGCAUCCUGUGGGUGGUGCCUUGGGCAGUUAAUCCUACUCCCUAAACAAACAUCUAGACCUCACAUGAACUGAAGCUCCUCAAUUCAAAUCCUAAUAAAUAAAAGCAACAAGAAAAAUCCUAAAAUCAAAAAAACCUUUCCCCUUCCCUUCUCAUUUUUAACUACAUCUGUUGAAGAGUUUCUUUUGCUUGAGAACUUGGAACCCACAAGAUUUUGUGCUAAAACAAUUUUCUUCCCACAGUUCCUUCUAUUAACUGAGCUCAUCGGAGGCCUUGUUCUUUCUUCUUCGGACUCAGACCCUUAAAACUGUCGUCGACUCUGUAUCCUCCUUUUUCCUUUCUUUGUUCCUUUGUCUCUCUCUUUUUUUUUUUUAGUUUUGCGAUUUUGGUGACUGUAGUUCUCAUAAAUAAGAAACCAGUGUUCUUUUUUGUGUUUUUGUGCCCUAAUUCCAUACCCCUUUGAUCCUUCUGAAUGAAUGGAUCGUCCUCCCUCGGAGUUUUUUUCCACCCAAAAGGUCGGCAAAUCCCUUCCUUUUCCCCACAUUACGAUCACAUGUGCUGCUUCAUUUGCUUCCUGAGCUUUUUUACGACAUUCAGUGGAUCUCCUUCUAAAAUGAUGUAUUGAAACCCUAGGUUUUCUGCGAAGGCUACUUCGUGAAGGCGUGCAUAGGUUUCUACUAUUGUUGGAUCUCGUAUGUUCUCAAUCGAGUAGGUGCAUGAACCGAUUACAAAACCGUUGUUAUUUCUUACUAUAAUUCCAGAAACUGCCCUAUUAUUUGGCUUUUGAAAACUGGUGUCGAUAUUAACUUUAACUUGGUCUUCUGAUGGGGGUUUCCAUUGUAGAUCUUGUAUUCUGUGGUUUCUUACAAGAUUAUUGUCCAACAUUUUAAUUUCGUUUAUAAAGGCUUUGAUGAAACUUAUGAUGUUGUUAAUACCUUGUCGAACACCUGCAUGAUAAAACAAGUCUCUAUUGUGUCAAAUCGCCUAGAAUGCGAUUGCUAAACAUAUUCUCUGUUUUGUAUUAUUUGACUUAAAAGUAUCGGUUAACCAAAUUUUCCACUCUGUGUUUUCAUGCAUGGUUGCAAUUUGAACAUCCAUCUUUUGGAGAACAAGCUUUGCAACGUAACAAUCGCAUAAGACAUGUGCAGUUGAUUCUUCUUUUUCACCACAUGUCGAGCACAUCGCUUCAAAUAUGAGUUUUUGAAUUUAAGAUUACUUAGAGUAGGCAUGAAAUUGUUUGUAAUCCGCCAUAGGUUGAUUUUAAUUUUGCUGGGAAUUUUUAAGCCCCAUAGUGCUGUAUGAUAAAUUUUCAUUUGGUCUAUCACUAUUGUAUUUUCAUUUCCCAGCAAAUUUAUAUCUUCUGUAAGACACUUGUAUCCACUCUUCAGUGUGUAUUCGCUAGUAUUGUCUCCCCGCCAAA
Gossypium arboreum is the source of this 1457-nucleotide long non-coding RNA. RefSeq lists it as uncharacterized. The transcript is spliced from 2 exons. Lineage: Eukaryota; Viridiplantae; Streptophyta; Magnoliopsida; Malvales; Malvaceae. The record is from RefSeq and is a predicted model, not a curated record.